RNAcentral lists this ribosomal RNA (415 nucleotides) under uncultured eukaryote. RNAcentral's name for it is "SSU rRNA". It matches the Rfam family "Eukaryotic small subunit ribosomal RNA", at positions 567 to 990 of the family's 1831-position model. The record is from RNAcentral.
CCAGCCGCUGCGGUAAUUCCAGCUCCAAUAGCGUAUAUUUAAGUUGUUGCAGUUAACAAGCUCGUAGUCGGUUUUCGGGCGGGCUGCGCCGGUCUGCCUUUGGUAUGCACUGGCGUGACCCGCUUUUCUGCCGGUGACGGGCUCCUGGGCUUUACUGUCCGGGACCCGGAGUCGGCGCUGUUACCUUGAGUAAAAUGGAGUGUUCAAAGCAGGCAUACGCUCUGAACAUAUUAGCAUGGAAUAACGAUAUAGGACUCUGGCCUAUUCGUUGGUCUGUGGGACCGGAGUAACGACCAAUGGGGGCAGUCGGGGGCAUUCGUAUUUCGUUGUCAGAGGUGAAAUUCUUGGAUUUACGAAAGACGAACUGCUGCGAAAGCGUUUGCCAAGGAUGCUUUCGUCGAUCAAGAACGAAAGU